UACGUAGGGGGCAAGCGUUGUCCGGAUUUAUUGGGCGUAAAGAGCGUGUAGGCGGCCAGACAGGUCUGCUGUGAAAACUCGAGGCUCAACCUCGAGACGCCGGUGGAAACCGUCUGGCUAGAGUCCGGAAGAGGAGAGUGGAAUUCCUGGCGUAGCGGUGAAAUGCGCAGAUAUCAGGAAGAACACCCGUGGCUAAGGCGGCUCUCUAGUACGGUACUGACGCUGAGACGCGAAAGCGUGGGGAGCGAACAGG
Molecule: ribosomal RNA, 253 nt
Filed under: uncultured bacterium
Lineage: Bacteria
Description: partial 16S ribosomal RNA
Rfam family: Bacterial small subunit ribosomal RNA
Source: RNAcentral